This 491-nucleotide ribosomal RNA is filed under the name uncultured bacterium. RNAcentral's name for it is "partial 16S ribosomal RNA". It matches the Rfam family "Bacterial small subunit ribosomal RNA", at positions 29 to 506 of the family's 1533-position model. The record is from RNAcentral.
AGUGAACGCUGGCGGUAGGCCUAACACAUGCAAGUCGAACGGCAGCACAGUAAGAGCUUGCUCUUACGGGUGGCGAGUGGCGGACGGGUGAGGAAUACAUCGGAAUCUACUUUUUCGUGGGGGAUAACGUAGGGAAACUUACGCUAAUACCGCAUACGACCUACGGGUGAAAGCAGGGGAUCUUCGGACCUUGCGCGAUUGAAUGAGCCGAUGUCGGAUUAGCUAGUUGGCGGGGUAAAGGCCCACCAAGGCGACGAUCCGUAGCUGGUCUGAGAGGAUGAUCAGCCACGCUGGAACUGAGACACGGUCCAGACUCCUACGGGAGGCAGCAGUGGGGAAUAUUGGACAAUGGGCGCAAGCCUGAUCCAGCCAUACCGCGUGGGUGAAGAAGGCCUGCGGGUUGUAAAGCCCUUUUGUUGGGAAAGAAAAGCAGCAGGUUAAUACCCCGCUGUUCGGACGGGACCCAAAGAAUAAGCACCGGCGAACUUCGU